This 23-nucleotide non-coding RNA is filed under the name Arabidopsis thaliana (thale cress). The record is from RNAcentral. Lineage: Eukaryota; Viridiplantae; Streptophyta; Magnoliopsida; Brassicales; Brassicaceae.
CGUCGGGGCAAGAGCCAGGCCUC